GAAAUGCGAUAAGUAGUGUGAAUUGCAGAAUUCAGUGAAUCAUCGAAUCUUUGAACGCACAUUGCGCCCCUUGGUAUUCCAUGGGGCAUGCCUGUUCGAGCGUCAUUUGUACCCUCAAGCUCUGCUUGGUGUUGGGUGUUUGUCCCGUCUCCGCGCGUGGACUCGACCCAAAGUGAUUGGCAGCCGGCGUACUGGUCCCGGAGCGCAGCACAUGUCGCGCAAACGAGUGCCUUGGUACGGCGGCGUCCAUAAGCCCCUCUCUCACGCUCUUGACCUCGGAUCAGGUAGGGAUACCCGCUGAACUUAAG
RNAcentral lists this unclassified non-coding RNA (308 nucleotides) under plant metagenome. RNAcentral describes it as "partial contains 5.8S ribosomal RNA, internal transcribed spacer 2, and large subunit ribosomal RNA". The stretch from base 1 to 105 matches the Rfam family "5.8S ribosomal RNA", at positions 50 to 154 of the family's 154-position model. The record is from RNAcentral.